RNA transcript from Limulus polyphemus (Atlantic horseshoe crab), 356 nucleotides. It is a transcript of the gene named catechol O-methyltransferase domain-containing protein 1-like, with no coding region annotated. The transcript has 3 exons. The record is from RefSeq and is a predicted model, not a curated record. Lineage: Eukaryota; Metazoa; Arthropoda; Merostomata; Xiphosura; Limulidae.
UCACGAGACAAUGCUAUCUACGCGAUCGAAGUAGGAGAACAUUUACAGAUGAGUGACGCCAAGAAGCGAUAUCACUCGCUUGGUUGUUCGUCUUACUCUCAGGGCUGGCAAACUUAGAAACAGGUAUCUACGGGUUUUGUUUGUUAAAACAAGUAGCAUUCCAAUAUGGAUCUAACUAACAGAGAAAAGAAAAGCUUUGAAAAUCAAGACCCUGUCAAUGAAUAUAUCAAACAGAAUUCUUUUCGACUGUCUCCUGCUCAAAAGAAACUAUAUGAACUUACUCUGACACAUCCAAAAUAUCACAUGAUGGGAGCACCAGAAAUUCUCCAGCUUUUACAGAAUUUGAUACGUGCCAU